UACGUAGGGGGCGAGCGUUGUCCGGAUUUAUUGGGCGUAAAGAGCUCGUAGGCGGUUUGGCAAGUCGGGUGUGAAAACUCCGGGCUCAACUCGGAGACGCCACUCGAUACUGCCAUGACUCGAGUCCGGUAGGGGAGUGCGGAAUUCCUGGUGUAGCAGUGAAAUGCGUAGAUAUCAGGAGGAACACCUGUGGUGUAGACAGCUUACUGGACCACUUCUGACGCUGAGACACGAAAGCGUGGGUAGCAAACAGG
RNAcentral lists this ribosomal RNA (254 nucleotides) under uncultured bacterium. RNAcentral describes it as "partial 16S ribosomal RNA". It matches the Rfam family "Bacterial small subunit ribosomal RNA", at positions 524 to 776 of the family's 1533-position model. The record is from RNAcentral.